GAACGCACCUUGCACCCUUUGGUAUUCCGAAGGGUAUGCUCGUUUGAGUGUCAUUGUACUCUCACACUCUCUAAUGCUUGCAUUAGGAGCGGUGGACUUGGGUGUUGCUGCUUCACGGUGGCUCACCUGAAAUGCAGUAGUGCACCUCCUGGUUGGACAUAGUACGGCGUGAUAAGUGUCUUCGCCGGCGCCUCGAAAGAGGGUGGCCGAUUGGGAGCUCUGGGCUUCUAACUGUCUUAGGACACUGUCUGACAACUUGACCUCAAAUCGAGUAGGACUACCCGCUGAACUUAAG
This 295-nucleotide unclassified non-coding RNA is filed under the name uncultured Sebacina. RNAcentral describes it as "sequence contains 5.8S rRNA gene". The record is from RNAcentral. Lineage: Eukaryota; Fungi; Basidiomycota; Agaricomycetes; Sebacinales; Sebacinaceae.